UGUGAACGUGAAAAUCAGAUCUAUGUUGCUUCUUCACCAUCCUAAUUCAAAAUUCAUGAACACCAUUUCUCAUAUCUACUUCUAAUCCUAUGUCAAAAAAGAUUUGGCUCUGAUUCAAAAAGAAAACAAGGGUCACUGAAUGUGAAAUUGAGUUAUGUUCUUGAUUAAAAAACAAACCUUUCCAUACAAUAAGGAGAUUUUCUUGAAAACUUAAGGUGGUGAGAAAAUCUCAGAUAACUUUGUAAGCUUUUUGGGUGGAUAAUUGCUCAUGUUCAUUAGAGUUUUUUAUCUCAUAAAGUCCAAAAGUAAAAUCACAAUAAUAAUGAAAAAAAACCAAUGAAGUAAAUUAAUAAUAAAAAAUUAGUCAUAACAGUCUAUUGUACCGACUAUAAUAUUAAUAGGUGUUCAUUUGUCUUUUCUUUUCAGCUAUUUACUGGCG
RNAcentral lists this long non-coding RNA (439 nucleotides) under Trifolium pratense (red clover). RNAcentral describes it as "long non-coding RNA (TPRA_LNC011633)". The record is from RNAcentral. Lineage: Eukaryota; Viridiplantae; Streptophyta; Magnoliopsida; Fabales; Fabaceae.